GUCGGGGCGGGAGUUGCUGGUGGCUAGUUCGGGAGGUGGCGGGGCGGGCAGGGGCCCCGGGUCAGUUUUGGGAGGGACAGCCUGGGGCUUUAGGGAGCGGAUCGGACCCGGGGUGACCUGCCCUGCCGCCUGUCCAGAUCAAAGCCAGACUUGAACGGAGAGGCUGUUCGGAAAGGCGGUGGCCGGUAGAGAGGGUGCCCCGUCUCGGAAUCCAGCAGGGAAGGACAGGCGAACAGGAGCUGUGAGGGGGAGGCCGGCGGGGACAGGCGGUCAGGUUACAGUUUUGUGCUGGCACCACCCCACGUUCCCCGAGUGACGAUUGGUAAGAGGGGAUUGGAACACUGGUCGAAGCCCGUGUGAAAUAAAACAUCCAAACUUAGCCCGCACAGACUUGUAUCGAAAAGGAUUAUUGGGGGACUGGAUGUAGGGGACAAGGGACUGUGGCCACAUGGGGAGGGGUCUCCUGCAAGCGGCAACCAUAAUACUGCGGUAGGGGCAGAGGGCGCACUGGAACAGGAGAGUGUUUCUCUCGCGAGGUCCACAGCAUCUGAAGACCUGGGUCAGAAGUUUUCCUUCGGGGAGGCCUAAACAAGGCUAGAAAGAGCCAGUCGUGGGAAGACUGAUGAAGUCAGGCAUCCUAGGCGUGCUGGUCCACCCCGCCUGAUGCCAGCUGGUUCUCAGGAGGGCUGUCUGCAGGCUCAGGGUGCCCUCAUGCAGGCCCUGGAAGAAAGCCAAGGCUUGCCUAUCAGACGUUUUGUUCCAGUUGGUCAGCGGGGACCUGCAGUUCAGCUAUCCAGUAUGUGAGAGAGGGUGGGAAUUUGGAGGGUCUGGGUCUGAUCUCCUGGGCCCACAAGGCACGACCCUUCACGGCUCAUGUGCUUUGCAGAACCCUUCUCCAAAACACAGGGUGGGAUUCCUUUCCCCUCUGCUGUCUCCGGGAGCACACACUCACCCCGGCUCAAGGUCACUGCCAGCUGUGGCUAGUGGCACCUGUCACAGCUCAGCACCAGUGCUUCCUGAUCCAGCUCAGCUUCCAUUCCUUGUAAAUAGCAGCUUCUCUUGUCUUUUCCUUGUCUUAAUGAAGGUGGGAAGUUUUUUUAUCUGUUUUUUGCCUGUUGCUGUUAGAUUGUAUUCCAGGGUUUAGCCUGAGUGUGCUUUUGGGGAAAAACGUCUCAAAAUAGGAAACAUUCAUUACCUUUCCAUUAAAAUUGUAGGAAGACACAGACCACCCCACAACUCAGGAGAGGAAGGUGAAGACUUGGGUGGAAAGGAGUGUAAAAAUUGUAGUGACCCUGCCAUGCAGGACUCUGUGCCACUUCUCUUUAGUGUCUGAGCAUAAUGCCCCUUCUGCAAAACACAACCCAGAAAACUGAGAAGUGUCAGUUUGAUUCACAGUUUAAAUUUGUCAGUUUAUCGUGAGGGUAAGUAUUGAGGAUAAGGAUAGUGGAUGCUGUUUUCUUUAAGGGAUCUUGG
This 1473-nucleotide long non-coding RNA is filed under the name Marmota monax (woodchuck). The record is from RNAcentral. Lineage: Eukaryota; Metazoa; Chordata; Mammalia; Rodentia; Sciuridae.